GGAGUGUUCAGAGCAAUGGAAUAAUAACACAACCUCAAAAGUAACAUAGGACUCACUGCAAACAACAAACUUAAGCUAUUCUAUAAAGAAGUUUGGUUUCAACAUCUUAUUAUUGAUGGAAAAGAACAACCUCCAAACGAAAUUAAGCUCUCCAGGAAUUGUGCAUCCAAGCCUCAAAAUCUUACAUCAGUGUUCCAGGUACCUUGCACACUAGGAUUUUUGGUUACAUGUCUUGUCCUCAGUUUUACCACCUUUCGUCCCAGUGCAUUCCUUAGUCUCAUCGCGCAUAAAUGUAUUUCUUCCGGAUCCAAAUUCUUCACACAUACCACACGAUGAUUAUUGCUUUUGUAGAAGCCCUUCAAGUGUGGAUGCUGACCAUUUAUGGACUCACAAUUGCCAGCUUUUAAGGAGAAAAAUCCUCAGCUA
This 426-nucleotide unclassified non-coding RNA is filed under the name Hevea brasiliensis (rubber tree). Lineage: Eukaryota; Viridiplantae; Streptophyta; Magnoliopsida; Malpighiales; Euphorbiaceae. The record is from RNAcentral.